UUGGUGUGCUCAAUUGUAAAAUGAAGGUAUC
Molecule: non-coding RNA, 31 nt
Filed under: Mus musculus (house mouse)
Lineage: Eukaryota; Metazoa; Chordata; Mammalia; Rodentia; Muridae
Source: RNAcentral